Molecule: unclassified non-coding RNA, 291 nt
Filed under: uncultured fungus
Lineage: Eukaryota; Fungi
Description: partial contains 5.8S rRNA, ITS2 and 28S rRNA
Rfam family: Eukaryotic large subunit ribosomal RNA
Source: RNAcentral
AAGGAGUCUAACAUGCUUGCGAGUGUUUGGGUGGCAAACCCAUACGCGUAAUGAAAGUGAAUGGAGGUGGGAUCCUGCAAGGGAGCACCAUCGACCGAUCCGGAUUUUUAAUGAAGGGUUUGAGUAAGAGCACGUAUGUUGGGACCCGAAAGAUGGUGAACUAUGCCUGAAUAGGGUGAAGCCAGAGGAAACUCUGGUGGAGGCUCGUAGCGGUUCUGACGUGCAAAUCGAUCGUCAAAUUUGGGUAUAGGGGCGAAAGACUAAUCGAACCAUCUAGUAGCUGGUUCCUGC